UAGGGAAUCUUCCACAAUGGACGCAAGUCUGAUGGAGCAACGCCGCGUGAGUGAAGAAGGUCUUCGGAUCGUAAAGCUCUGUUGUUGGUGAAGAAGGAUAGAGGCAGUAACUGGUCUUUAUUUGACGGUAAUCAACAGAAAGUCACGGCUAACUACGUGCCAGCAGCCGCGGUAAUACGUAGGUGGCAAGCGUUGUCCGGAUUUAUUGGGCGUAAAGCGAGCGCAGGCGGAAUGAUAAGUCUGAUGUGAAAGCCCACGCUCAACCGUGGAACUGCAU
RNAcentral lists this ribosomal RNA (277 nucleotides) under uncultured bacterium. RNAcentral's name for it is "partial 16S ribosomal RNA". It matches the Rfam family "Bacterial small subunit ribosomal RNA", at positions 355 to 626 of the family's 1533-position model. The record is from RNAcentral.